GGGGGUGAUUGGCCUCGACUUGUGUUAGCCGGGGAACAGGUUGCGUGCCGAGGAUGAUGGUUGGCCUCGUUAAAAUCCAUCAAAACAAUAAACGCUAACAACAAUUAUAGCGUCGUCGCUGAAGCCGAGGCCAUUUUGGCCGGAGCUGAAGCUCCAGCCUUAGUUUAAUUAAAUAAACUAAGCCCUGUAACGGGGGGAGUCUGCCGCUUCGUUACUGGAACCAAGCAGGCUGGUUUUAAACCGCGCUUUCGGGUUUAAGAUAAGAUUAAAGGGAGCUGGUCUUGAACGGGUUUGGCCGUUGAAACGUUCAGGUCGACAAUAAAGACGGCCUACGCAUGUAGAAGCUUGAUCUUAGGAACAUAAGGACCCGGGUUCGAUUCCCGGCACCUCCACCA
RNAcentral lists this transfer-messenger RNA (395 nucleotides) under Candidatus Omnitrophota. RNAcentral's name for it is "JADFYI01 sp015233145 Standard tmRNA". It matches the Rfam family "transfer-messenger RNA". From Rfam's summary of the family: Bacterial tmRNA, also known as 10Sa RNA or SsrA, is named for its dual tRNA and mRNA-like properties. Its role is to liberate the mRNA from a stalled ribosome. RNAcentral also lists the same sequence under 1 other name. The record is from RNAcentral. Lineage: Bacteria; Pseudomonadati.